AUGGGUAUGUCUCCAUAUAAAAUGGUUUAUGGAAAAGCAUGUCACUUACCUCUCGAACUAGAACAUAAGGCUUAUUGGGCCAUUAAAGAGCUAAACUAUGAUUUCAAACUUGCCGGUGAGAAGAGGUUAUUUGACAUUAGCUCACUUGAUGAAUGGAGAACCCAAACCUAUGAGAAUGCCAAAUUAUUUAAAGAAAAAGUUAAAAGAUGGCAUGACAAAAGGAUACAAAAGCGUGAGUUUAAUGUAGGUGAUUAUGUAUUGUUAUACAACUCUUCUUUAAGAUUUUUUGCAGGAAAACAUCUCUCUAAGUGGGAAGGUCCUUACGUUAUCGAGGAGGUCUAUCGUUCCGGUGCCAUAAAAAUCAACAACUUCGAAGGCACAAAUCCGAAGGUGGUGAAUGGUCAAAGAAUUAAACAUUAUAUCUCAGGUAAUCCUAUAAAUGUUGAAACCAAUGUUAUUGAAACCGUAACCCCGGAGGAAUACAUAAGGGACACCUUCCGGAACGUUUCAGACUCCGAAAAGGAAUAG
This 528-nucleotide ribosomal RNA is filed under the name Triticum aestivum (bread wheat). RNAcentral's name for it is "partial small subunit ribosomal RNA". The record is from RNAcentral. Lineage: Eukaryota; Viridiplantae; Streptophyta; Magnoliopsida; Poales; Poaceae.